GGAUGUGGCUUAAGUGGUAGCGCGCUUGCCUAGCAUGUGUGAGGCACUGGGUUCGAUUCUCAGCACCA
Molecule: transfer RNA, 68 nt
Filed under: Marmota monax (woodchuck)
Lineage: Eukaryota; Metazoa; Chordata; Mammalia; Rodentia; Sciuridae
Description: tRNA.Ala
Source: RNAcentral